This 248-nucleotide ribosomal RNA is filed under the name uncultured bacterium. RNAcentral's name for it is "partial 16S ribosomal RNA". It matches the Rfam family "Bacterial small subunit ribosomal RNA", at positions 108 to 353 of the family's 1533-position model. The record is from RNAcentral.
GAGUAACACGUAUCCAACCUGCCGUCUACUCUUGGACAGCCUUCUGAAAGGAAGAUUAAUACAAGAUGGCAUCAUGAGUCCGCAUGUUCACAUGAUUAAAGGUAUUCCGGUAGACGAUGGGGAGUGCGUUCCAUUAGAUAGUAGGCGGGGUAACGGCCCACCUAGUCUUCGAUGGAUAGGGGUUCUGAGAGGAAGGUCCCCCACAUUGGAACUGAGACACGGUCCAAACUCCUACGGGAGGCAGCAUG